Molecule: long non-coding RNA, 1179 nt
Organism: Macrobrachium nipponense
Lineage: Eukaryota; Metazoa; Arthropoda; Malacostraca; Decapoda; Palaemonidae
Exons: 3
Source: RefSeq, a predicted model, not a curated record
CUUCAGCAGAGCUUCAGACUGCACUCCUCUACGUAACCCUAAAAUCAUAUUUACAUGUAAUUUUAACAACACCAUUAGCAUAACUUUAGGAAACUCCCAAAAUAAAGGAAAAUUACAUGCGAGGAAAAUCUGUCACAUUGUUCAUCAACAGACACUAUACAUAAUGUGUUUUAAUCAUCUCUCUCCCAUUAGUUUCCUUCGACUGAAAAUGAGUGACUGUCGGUUGCUGCUGAUUUUGAAGGCUACUGGAAUUUCCCAAACUGUGGAGGAGCAAUCGACGGGAAACAUGUGAGGAUUAUUUCCCCUGCAGGAAGUGGAUCCUACUAUCAUAACUACAAAGGGUUCAAAAGCGUCAUCUUAAUGGCUAUUGUAAAUGCGAAUUACGAGUUCAUGAUGGUGGAUGUCGGAAGAAAUGGAAGAAUGUCAGAUGGUGGAGUUUUCCAAACUACAACUUUCUGUAAAAAACUCCAUCGGCAUAACUCAAUCUGCCAUCAGCAGACAUGAACAAAGAAGGUUUGAAUUUUGUCUUCCUCAGAGACAAUGCGUUUGCUUUACACGAGAAUCUGUUGAAACCAUUUGCUCUUAGAGAUCUAACUAUAGAGAAACGAAUAUUCAAUUAUAGAGUUUCCAGAGCAAGACGGGUCGUAGAAAAUGCGUUUGGCAUUUUAGCAAACCGUUUUCGCAUCUUUCACACAACAAUCAAUAUGAGUCCAAACAAAAUAGACGUUGUUGUGCUAGCUUGUUGUAUUUUACAUAAUGUAUUGCGGCAAAAAAAUAAAGGUGGUUAUUCACCAACCACUAUGGUUGAUCGAGAAGAUAUUGAGAGUCGGCAAUUGAUCCCAGGUUCUUGGAGAAAUGAAGAACAACAACUCACCCCUCUUCAAGCGAACCUAAAUAAUACAGGGCAAGCUGGCGGCAAACAGAAUAGAGACAAGUAUGUUACCUACUUCAAUACUACUGGAGCUGUGCCUUGGCAGAACGAUAUGGCCUGAAAUGGUACUAUUAAUGCUGAUCACUUUGCUUACUAUUUAUUUUACUGUUUAACUUUAGUUUAAACUUGAGGCGUACAUUUCUUAGAUUUCUGUAAUACAAUAUUUGAGUUCUGACAAAUUUACAGUAAUGUUUACAAUGACCUACAUUCAUUUGUACAUGUAUGUAUUAAAUAAAACGUUUCAGUUA